UGUUCCUUGCAGCCAGGGUUGGAGCAAGGGGUGAGAGAGUGGCGCCCAGUGGGCUGCACGAAGCUGCCAGCCAGCGCGCAGAGCCUCUGGCAAUUAGCUCGGUUCCUACAGCUCCUUAAACAAUGUUGAUGGACCCUUGUCUUUCAUUAAGCUCCCUGAAAGCCAGUCUCUUGAUGGAUCCCAGGGGCAAAAUCCAGGAGGAAAGAAUUUAUUUUCAGACACAGUUUAACAGCAACCAACUUAAGCAGCACCUAAAAAAAAAUGAUAAUUAAAUAUUUCUCCAAGGAGCAAAUUAAGAUAAAUACCCCAAGGGUCCUUCACAAAGAUCUGUUUAGAAAGCGUCCAAUUAGGAUAACACACACCACAUUUCGAGGACCAAAGGGACUGCUCUGCCUUACCCCCCUUUUGGCGUCUGUUGGUACGCCCGGUUUCCAAGGGAAUGAAUUUCUUUACAUGGUCAGGAGCGGCGUGUUCUCUGGCGGGGAGCACCAGGAGCUGACUUCGUGGCACAGUAUCUUGUUCCUGCUCUGAUCACAAGAGUCAGAACUGAAGCUCAUUUAGACCAACGCAUGGCACCUGAUUGAGAGUCUGUUCCGGACUCUGGGCUGCUGGCCGUACCCAAGACGUCUGACCUUAAGGCCACCAGGGUCCAGUCAGCGGCCACCGUGGGCCUCGCAGCCAGGACGCUUAUCAAGCCCCUGAACCACGGCCCUCCUUCACGCUCUUUACCCAUAGCCACAUCCCACGACCACCCUGAAGAGCCUGCUCUGAGCCCGCGAACCAGAGGCCAGCAAGCGGACUGCAAGUGGGAUCAGGGUUCUCGCUCAGGUCCCGUCGCCUCUGACCUUAGAUUUUGCAAACCCUCCUCCUGCUCGUCUCCCGUCCCUCCCUUCGAGGGUGCAGCUCUUGCUCCCCAAGGCAGGGUCCCCGGCUUUGACCCCGAGCGCCCUCCCGGCAGGAAAUUGGCCUAUGCAGCAGUGAGACCCGCGCAGGCUCAGGCCUCUGCAGCGCCCACCUGCCGCCCACACCCGCAUCCUGAUUCACUUUUACACAACACACCUGCACAGCUUCACCCUUGUCCUUGCCCCCAUUUCACACCUGAGCAAACUGAGCUCAGCAGCAAAGGCUGCAGAAUUAUACACGUGGUGAGACUGCACUCACGCGGGACGGCAGGAGCAGGUGCUCCUCGGAGCUCCGUGGGGUUCACCCGGGGACCUGGGGCAGGGGGUCCCCGACGACAGGAGCAGGUGCUCCUCGGGGCUCCGUGGGGUUCACCCGGGGACCUGGGAGGCUCUGCCGGCUGAACCCACGCCUGCUCACGGCCCCUCCGUCCGCCUCCGCCACACAGGGCAGAGGGACCCCGUGCACGGGGGGGCCCCAGGCCGGCGACGAGGACCCCGACUCCCCUCUUCCCGCGGACAAGGACGACCCCACGGCCACAGGGGCAGCGACUCCCGCGGGGAGCACCUGAAGCAGCGGAGCCGUGGGCGGGAGAACAACGCGGGGGCCCCGGGAGGACCCCAAGGUGCGGGCGCGGAGACGGGCUUCUAACUCCCGCGGGGUCGGA
RNAcentral lists this long non-coding RNA (1567 nucleotides) under Vulpes vulpes (red fox). RNAcentral's name for it is "lncRNA (ENSVVUG00000008445.1)". Lineage: Eukaryota; Metazoa; Chordata; Mammalia; Carnivora; Canidae. The record is from RNAcentral.